AACGAACGCUGGCGGCAUGCCUAACACAUGCAAGUCGAACGAGACCUUCGGGUCUAGUGGCGCACGGGUGCGUAACGCGUGGGAACCUGCCCUUAGGUUCGGAAUAACUCCCCGAAAGGGGUGCUAAUACCGGAUAAUGUCUUCGGACCAAAGAUUUAUCGCCUUUGGAUGGGCCCGCGUUGGAUUAGCUAGUUGGUAGGGUAAAAGCCUACCAAGGCGACGAUCCAUAGCUGGUCUGAGAGGAUGAUCCGCCACACUGGGACUGAGACACGGCCCAGACUCCUACGGGAGGCAGCAGUUGGGAAUAUUGGACAAUGGGCGAAAGCCUUAUCCAGCAAUGCCGCGUGAGUGAUGAAGGCAUUAGGGUUGUAAAGCUCUUUUACCAGGGAUGAUAAUGACAGUACCGGGAGAAUAAGCCCCGGCUAACUCCGUG
This 433-nucleotide ribosomal RNA is filed under the name uncultured bacterium. RNAcentral describes it as "partial 16S ribosomal RNA". It matches the Rfam family "Bacterial small subunit ribosomal RNA", at positions 29 to 507 of the family's 1533-position model. The record is from RNAcentral.